UGCUAACUUGUGUGUGUGUGUCUAG
This 25-nucleotide non-coding RNA is filed under the name Rattus norvegicus (Norway rat). The record is from RNAcentral. Lineage: Eukaryota; Metazoa; Chordata; Mammalia; Rodentia; Muridae.